GUGCUUGCUUUGGCAGCAUGUAUACUAAAAUUGGAACGAUACAGAGAAGAUUAGUAUGGCCCCUGUGCAAGGAUGACAUGCAAAUUCAUGAAGCGUUCCAUAAAAAA
Lemur catta (Ring-tailed lemur) is the source of this 107-nucleotide small nuclear RNA. The record is from RefSeq and is a predicted model, not a curated record. NCBI's taxonomy places the organism in Eukaryota, Metazoa, Chordata, Mammalia, Primates, Lemuridae.